RNAcentral lists this long non-coding RNA (1626 nucleotides) under Anas platyrhynchos platyrhynchos (common mallard). Its description in RNAcentral is "lncRNA (ENSAPLG00000027079.1)". Lineage: Eukaryota; Metazoa; Chordata; Aves; Anseriformes; Anatidae. The record is from RNAcentral.
GAGGAUAUGUUCAUAUCCUCUUAGAUAUAUUCAUAUCCUCCCAGAUACGAAGCUGAGAGGAAACUAUCUCAACAGUCACUACGUGUGAUAAGGAAGAUGAUGUCUGAUGUCUGCCUGGGAUGCACUGGAUGUAUUGUGCUGUUUCUGGGGUGGGGAAAAUAAUCAGAAGAAAAACGGGCAAAGGGAGGAUGAUGCAAACCUACUAGUCCUGGAGUUAUAAUGAAUCUUUCUGGUCUGGUUACAUUAAUGUAGAGGAGAAACAUUCUGCCUUCAGCCAGGCUGCAGUUUCCAUAAGGGUUGUUCCUCAUGUUUAGUAGCUGUGUUUUAUAGAUAAUCUAUGAUGCUUCAUUUUCAGUUCAAAAUAAACGUAAAUUAGAAGGAAAAGAGAGAGAGACAGAGUGAGAAUGUGCAGCAGAAAUUAGGCUGAUGCAAUCAUUUCCCGUUCUGAAACUGAUCGAGUAAGAUCAGGAUGCGGCUGGUUUAGUGAUCACCGUAAUUAGCACAAUUGACUGCUUGCAGAUGACUAAUCUUUCGGUUCAAGGGAAGUAAAUUAAGACUUAUAUAUUUUGGCUUUAUCCUAGCUCUACAGGUAAUGUAAGACAAAUGAUCUGUGAGUUCCUAAUACCAAAGAGGUUUGUGGAUUAUAAAAGAGCACAGAAUGCAGACACGGGGUAAAGUUAUGGAAAUACAAAUCUGGAUUCAUACGAAAUUUGAAACAAGACUUGAGCUUUGCAAAAGCCAAAUCAGCCUCCUUGAAUUUCCACUGGCCAGGUUUGAUGGAAAAUGUAAUUUUCUUGGAAAGCUUGAAGGCAAAUGGGACAAACCAUCUGGAAGAGGUGAGCAUUUGGCGGUGUGGGUUUUCUGGUCAUCUUUAGAUGCAUUAGCAUGCUAUUCUCCCUUCUUGUUGGACACCUAGCACCUUUCCAAAGAACGGGCAAAGAAUCUGGUGCUGUGUUCUGCACAGAGAUUUUGACUUGGCCCAAACUUAUCAGCUUCUGCCCAGGAAAGCACAGGCACAGCUUUGUUUCUGACUGUGUUGCAGACUUCACAUGUGUAAAAUGCACACCUGCUGUGUGUGUUAUGGACACUUUGCCCCAGUACAAACUUUAGAAACAUCCCACUGAAGCAGACAGGCAUGUAGCAGGGAGCCAGUGACAAGGGAUGUCACUGAAAGUCCACCUAGGAGGGUGAGUUUGAUCAGAUGGUCCAUAACUGGUCAACACUUCCACCUGGUUAGCUAUUGUGACCUACUCACACUGUGUAUAUGGGUGGUUUGGUUUAGGCUGAAUUCAAGGUGAUGAUUUUGAUGCAGAGACAGACAUUUACAGAGAUGUUGGUCAUAUCUGGGUCAGCAGCCUCUAAAACACUCUGCAACCCAAUCCAUGCAGAACUUCAGAGGAUGAGGCUGAUGUUGUUGGAACAGGAGAGGGAAAGCGACAUGAAGGGACAAAGCAGACCCAAGCAGUGAUACAACUCAGUCUCCUUUCCUGAAUGUACGAACCAGCACGAUACCUUUAUCUCCUUCGGAUCUGGAUACAGUUCAGGUUUCCUUUGCUGCAGUUCAGGCUCUCACUUUUUGCUUCUGCGUGCAAUAAAACACAAUGUUCUACUACUCUGUGAGCUUUU